This is a long non-coding RNA of Cyprinus carpio carpio, 545 nucleotides long. Lineage: Eukaryota; Metazoa; Chordata; Actinopteri; Cypriniformes; Cyprinidae. The record is from Ensembl.
UGAUAAUAUUCCCAUUUGAGAGGAGACCGUCUACCGGUGGAGGAGGAGGGUGACAUAUAUGGAGCGCGUGUAGACGACAGUCUGUUAAAUAUUCAUGAUUGUGCACUUGCGGCUUGACAUGUGUACGGCAGAUGCUCGCCACAGUGGGUUACCAGGAUGGCUGAAUGGUUGCACACACCUCGGGAGUGACGUAGGAGAGGAAGACUUGGAAGAGGAGAUCGUUGGAGAAGCGCUGGAGGAACUCUGGAGGUUAGGAGAUUUCUGCUGGAGAAGAGCACGACAACAGCAGUGAUCAAAGGUUUUCAUUAAGGAAGUGAUGACAGAGGAGCACAGGCACAGGCACCUGCUUCUUCUGAAGGGAAAGAUCCGCCCCCUCCACACACGACCAGAAUGAACUAAAAAGAAUGAGUUCAAAUCAAUGCAAAAUCAAUUUAUCUUAUUUCACACAAGGCUGCCUCUUAGGGAUUAGACGCAAGAAACUUAAUAGAUCAACAUUAGCAAAUGGAAACUAGUUUUUAUGACACAAUGCUUGCAAAUAAGGAGAC